This is a long non-coding RNA of Vespa crabro (European hornet), 6035 nucleotides long. RefSeq lists it as uncharacterized. The record is from RefSeq and is a predicted model, not a curated record. The transcript is spliced from 6 exons. NCBI's taxonomy places the organism in Eukaryota, Metazoa, Arthropoda, Insecta, Hymenoptera, Vespidae.
GAGAGAGAAGGAGAGAAAGAGAGAGAGAGAGAGAGAGAGAGAGAGAGAGAGAAAUAACACUCGGCGUAUGAAUGAAACGAGAAACAAUCACGAGGCAUUGGCCUUGACAGAAAAUUCGUCCUUUAACAAGUAUGUAAACAAAAAUCGCUUGGCUGACCGAGUGGAAGGGAGAAUUACAGAUUAAUACGACACUACAUUCGAAACAAGUCACGAUCUGUUUGCGUAACAGGCAAGACGAAAUUAUCGCUUUUAUUACGCAUUUUAAAAUACUUAACGAAAUUUAAUUUGCUUUUUAGUUUACCCCUUCUACCAAAUUGACAGCUUGGAAUAAAAAAGAUGUUUAAGCGGGACAAGAUGUUCUCAUGUUUUUCUUUUUCUUUUGAAGUUAAAGACAAAUAUCUUUUUUUUUCUUUUUUUUUUUCUGUUUUCUUUUUUUAUAAAAUAAAAAUUUAGUUGUUCAUCGUGCGCAAUGCGAUCUUAGAGUCAGUGUUUAUGCGAAAAAAUUUCGAGUUUCUCUAACCAAAUAGGUUGUCUUAAAAAUGAAAUAAAUUUGCUAAUUAAAUUCAGUGUUGUUCAACGAAGAAAAUUCUUCGGUCGUGUUAAUAAAUCAACGCAAGAAUUUCAUGUAAUAUUCUUGUUAAAACAAUUCGUUCGCCGCGUUGUGUGAAUUAAAAAAUUUUGCAUCUACAUCUUUAUCAACAAAUGUAAAGCUUCGUUUGGAUAAAAUUAUAUAUCAACCAACUCUAUCACAUCAUUACACCUACAUUGAGAGAGACAAGUGUUUUGGAGACAUCGCAGAACUUCUUAAUUAAAUGUUUCUAUGAAAACUGCAAAAUGACGCUUCUUUCUCUAUCUACUUGAAUAAACCCGAAUGGAGAACGAUGGAACGCAAAAUUCGCUAAGACGGCGGCGACCGUCGUUGUUACUGACCGUUCGCAAAAGGCUAAAAGAAAAAAAAAAACAAAAAAAAAACAAAAAAAAAACGAGAAUAAAAAAAGAGCUGAAAAACAAUGGUCCAUCGCGUAUGGAAGAAUAAGAGAGAAGAGGAAAGAUUCAACGAUGACGUAGGAGGAGAGAGAAAGGGAUAUUUAAUGUAGCAGCAUGCUUGGAGCUCGCGUUGGCGAGGGUGAGAGAGGGAGAGAGAGACAGGAAGAGAGAGAAGGGGAGAAGAAAAAGAGAAAGAUAUAGUGGUACAAGGAGAGGAGUGGGAGCAGAGCCAAGCUGUCUGCUGACUCUCGCGAUCUCCGAGUGCCGAGGAGGCGAGCGCUCCUACGACGGACAUUAAGUAAUAUCUCGAAGUCCUUUCUUCGAACGGCUUCAACACAGCCACACGACGUGCCGCCGACUCGUUUUUCAAGGACAAUGGAUUUAUCCGCGAACGCAUUCGCGCGGAAAAGGCGUCACGCUCGCAUUCCACACGUUGCAGCAUUAUGCCAACAACAUCAAAAGAGAGGCUGCUGUUGUUGCUGAUCUUUGGUCUACCUACCGUCGUUUCAACGAACGACCUGCGAAAAAGCGUCCUCGAGAUAAUAACGUCACUUAAGAUCUAGCGCUCUCUUUCUCUCUCUUUUUUUCUCUUUCCUUCUCUCACUCUCUUUCUCUCUUUCUUUCUCUCUCUUUUUCUCUCUUUCUCUCUCUGCACCCUAUCCUCCCCUAUCGUUUUCUAUCUCACAAGUCUAGCCGAGUCAAGGUACUCAGGUAAGCAGCAGCUCGACCCAAAUGGAAAGGAAAAUGUGGUUAGAGGAGAAGAGGCACUUUCGAGAAGAGGACCUCCCACGCGCUCCUACAAAAUGCCUUUCCUCUGACCCCUCCAAUUCAAAUUCUUUUAUCUCUCUACUUUAUACUUUGUUUCUCAUACGUAACUUACAAUGUAUAUCUUUCUACGUCUGACCCAAAAAAAAUGAAAUUUUUUAUAACUUUUUCUUUCAUUUUUAGGGAUAAUAAUGAGAUCUAGGAAACUUCGUGCACACAAUCUAUCGAUUAUCAUUUCUACAUGAAAGAGAAGAAGAUACGCGCUUGUUGUGUAAAGUCAUCAACACGGAGGGAGGAGGAUCGGCAGGAGUAGGAGCAAGAACAGGAGCAGGAGCAGGAACAGGAGCAGGAGUAGCAGCAGCAGCAGCAGCAGCAGCAGCAGCAGCAGCAGCAGCAGAAGCAGCAACAGCAACAGCGAGCACGUCAUCGUCCAAAGUAAUCUGGUCCGUGAGAAGAGAUACUAAACGGACAACGACGAAGAUGACGACAAAGACGACGAUGAUGAUAAGAUGAAGGAAGUGGGUCGAAGUGGGAUCUUGGACGAAGAUAAAAAUGAAAAAGAUAUUCGUAAAAACGAGAUAGAUAGAUAGAUAGAUAGAGACAGAGAAAGACAGAGAAGGAGAGAGAGAGAGAGAGAGAGAGAGAGAGAAAGGAUUCUUCCUACCGUCCGCCAUCCUCCCGUUAUAUUAUCCUCUUCCUCUCGUACUCGCAAACGCGUUAAAAAUCGUUCGCUCACCUAACUCUCUUCAAUCGUAAGUCCGUAGUACGAGCAGCCACGACAUCUCAACGAGUCCCGUACACCGCAAACUCGUAAGCUCACUCUCUCGCACUCGUAGGCACACUCAGUACCACCACUGUAAACUUUUCUCUCUCUAUCUCUCUCUCUCCCGUUCUCUCUCUCUCUCUCUCUGUCUCUCUCUCUCUCUCUCUCUCUCUCUCUCUCUCUCUCUCUCUCUCUCUCUCUCUCUCUCUCUCUCUCCACGCGAAUCUCCCACGGGCCGAAUGUAAAAAGCGCGAAAAGGCACUUUCGAACGAGUGAGAAGGAACUCGGUGGUGGUAUUCCUCUUCUUAUUAUUAUUCUUCGUAUCUUUUCUUUUCUUCUCUUGUGUCUUCUUUUUUUAUUCGAAAAUCUCCGAGAGUCUCAAUUAUUUAUAUUCCACUCCCUUUUCCACGGAGCAGCAGCAUGCUACUACACAACUAUGGGUUUCCAGCCGUCGUCUCUCCACAGGUAUCUCUCUCUCUCGCUCUCCCUCCCUCACUCCCUCCUCUUUCUCCCGUUCUCCUCCUCCUCCUCCUCCUCCUCCUCCUCCUCCUCCUCCUCCUCCUCCUCCUGCCCCCACACCCACCGAUACACACUGGCACGCACGUCGGUUAUAUUCCUCUGCGAGUCGAGCGAGCGAACGCUUGAAUCGUAUAUCGCGAGUCAAGAGUCGUAACGACGAACCUGUCGUAUCCGCGAUUCCUACGUGUCUCUCUCUCUCUUUCUCUUUCUCUCUCCCUCUCUCUCUGUUUGUCUGUCUCUCUCUCUCUCUCUCUCUCUCUCUCUCUUUCUCUUUUUCUAUCUAUAUCUGUCUCUAUCUAUCUAUCUAACGCGUUUUCACCUGCGUCCGUAUAAAUAUAGAUGCGUAAGUCGAUCCGGCAGCCCGAGUUUCACCGCGACGUGUGACGACAUUCGUAUAUAAGAGGGAGGAAAAGAGAGAGAGAGAGAGAGAGAGAGAGAGAGAGAGAGAGGAAGAGAGAGAGAGAGAAAGAAAAAGAGAAAGAGAGGAAGAUAGAGAGAUUGACAUAAACGUAUCUCUCGAAAAGGAUUGUAACUUAAAAUCGCGAUCUUAGAAAUUUGUUGAGAACGAAAAACGAUGACGAUACGUCGUCACGAAGCAAUGUGUCGAGAGCUGUGGCCCCUUCGAUCCAACCUACUCAGGCCCGUUCGCCAACAGCUUCGUCCUCCUUCCCCUUUUCCUUCUCUUCACUACUCUACUCUCUGCUCUUUCCCUCCUUCCUUCCUUGACCACCUCUGUUGCCGCCGGCCGGCCCGCCGAGCGGAUCCGAUCCCCUCCGUUAAAACCCUCCCCGAUCCUCUUGGCGGCCCCUCGCCGUCUCCGACAAGACCAAUCGUCUCAUCUUCUUUCUUCAACCACCAACUCUUCUCCUCUCUCUUUCUCUUUUUUUUCUCUCUUUCUUUCUAACAGCUCCUUCAAAAUCUUCUCUAUGGUAUCGGCCAAACGUUUUACGAAUGAAUCAUCUCCUCUUUAACUUAAUAUGUAACAUGGUGAAUAUGAGAUCGAGUUACAUUCUUCAAAAUAUGAGGUACUAAAUAUGUGAGAAAAUAUUGAUCUUAUAUUCAAUAAAUUGUGUUAGUAUUCAUUUUGGUUUUUUUUUUAAAGUAAUUAAGGAUUUUUUUUAUUUGUAAUUUGUAACUUUUUUAACGUUAUUGGUGUAAAGAUACUUCUUCUUUUUUUUUUCUCUCCUAGAUAUUAUCUUUAAAUUAGGAAGCGAUUUCUAUUUAUUCAUAGAUGGCGUGUUCAGGAUUUUCUAUGUGUACAUGGAGAAAGUUAUGGGGUUUUCCGUCUAGAUAUUCUUUCCUUUGUACGACUCCUUCCUAUGAAUCAGUUCAGUAUGACUAAUGUCAAUCUUUAAACAACGGUACUAUUGCUUCUAUGAUAUCUACUUAGGUACUUAUGUCUGGCUACGGUCUAUUUGACGAACUAUCGUCUAGGUGCAGAUGUGACGAAGAAGUAAACAUUGUGUGUCUUGUGAAGAUUCAUAAUUUUAUAGAUUUUUGUUCGACACGAAUCGUUUUAAUAUAGCCGAGAUAUUUGUAGAAGAGAAUUCAAUUAAUAAGAUAAUUUAUAAUAAUAAAAACAAUGCAUGAAAAAAGUAAUGAACUAAAUCACUAUUAAAGGAUAGUUCUUCUGAUGUAGAAUUGAAAGUCUAUGUAAACUUUGAAUCUAUCCCAUAAAUUUGAAAAAUAAAUUUAUGAUACUUUUAAGAAGAUAUACAGAGAUUGUUUUACUUUUGCAAAAAAUAAGGAUAGAGUUAUCAAAAUUAUUAGACUGUAGUAACAAGAGAAUAAGACUUAUAAGACUGAAAUAUCUAAUGAAAGACUAUAAUAGAUUUCUUUCUAUUCAAUCGAUGGACGACUACCAUUUAGUUGGUCCUGUACCAAUGCUUGCUCCAGUUGUUGAUGCUAUGAAAGGAUUCGUCGAAGCAGCUAGGAGGAAAAAUUUAGUUAGAUAUAAAAUUUAGUCUAUCCUCAUUAAGAGAAUGAAUCAAAUAUUAUACAUAUAUAUAUGUAUAUAUAUAUAUAUAUAUGAGGUAUAAGCAACUUAAAAAGGGAUAGCUUAUGUGGAUGAGAUAAAGGUUGUAAUCAAUAUAUGCAAAUUACAACUAAGUCUGUUUAAAGCUGUGCCUUUAUAAGAUUUCUCCUUAUAUACAAAAGUAAACUGUUUUAUAAGUACUACUAGGAAUGAUUGAUUAAAUUGUUUUUUUUCUCUCUCUCUUUCUUUUUUUUUCUUUUCUUUUUUUUUUUUAAUGGCAUAAAAAAAAUAAUAUAACUCAUAUUUUAUCUUAAAAACGAUAAAAACUGAUCAAGAAGUAAAUUAUUAAAAGAAUGAUUAAAAACAAGAUACAUUUGAUAUUACUUCAACGGUAAUUCUUAUGACAUUAAUUAUUUUAUCGUUAUUAGGAAGAAUAUAUAUAAUUACAUGCAAAAAAAAGAACAUUUUUCUAUCGAUAAUUUCUUUGGCAGCGAUAGUUCGUGUAAUAAUGCUAGUACUAUCUAAAUACAGAAAGUAUUUUGAUAUAUAUUUUGUUGUUAUAUAUUAUUUAUAAAAGUCAAUUGUGCGUUUAAGCACGUUAAAGAUAUAGACAAUAUUCAAACGCUUAAAUUAUCGCUGACCAAAGGUAGAAAAACAAGACAAAGAAAAUAAGUACAAAUAAAAUAUAAAGAAUCGCAAAAAUUAUAAGAAAAUUAAAUAUUUUUUUUUUGGUUGCUUCGUUUUAAUUCGCCCUUCUUCUUUGACGGAUUAAAAAAAUAAUAAUAAUCAAAAUUUAUUAUAUAUAUUUACAUAUAAUUAAGGAGAACUUAUAUAUGAUGAUUACGCAUUAAGAGAUUAUUUUUGUCUAUGAAUACAUAAAUCAAAAAAGCCGCGAAGAGGAAAGAAAAAUAUUUAAAUAGCCAAGUAUGUAUGUACGUCUAAAGUAAGAGAAUAUAAACGCAAACGAAAUCGUGUAUAUGAAUAUAGAGAUAAAUAAAUUCAGGCAAACAAAUACGUAAACACAAU